Molecule: long non-coding RNA, 404 nt
Organism: Ornithorhynchus anatinus (platypus)
Lineage: Eukaryota; Metazoa; Chordata; Mammalia; Monotremata; Ornithorhynchidae
Exons: 2
Source: RefSeq, a predicted model, not a curated record
AAACGGCAGCAAAAGCAACGGAUCUUCCGUCGGCGGCAGCUAUCUUUUCCUCCGUGUUCUUUCAUCGGCAGAUCCAAGAACUGCCCAAACUGCUACGUGACCAAGACUAGACUCUGAAACAUCUGCGUUUUGGAUGUAGGCACCAAGCCCUCAGGUCAGGUAUAGACAUCACUGAAGACAUGCGGCUGUUGGCUUCUUGGAUAAGCAUUGGCAUACUUCUCUACGAAUGGAACUAAAGGCCGGCAGCUCCCAAUGCCGAAGACAGAAAAGUCAUCAAACUGUCCAUCCAGUUACUACCCCCCCCCCCCGCAACAAAAGACAAUCAAACUCGGGAUCAACGGGCAAUCACGCAAAAUGAUAGAAUGAAGGAUUACUGAAUAUUAAACCACUCCCUUUCCUGAGGA